AUCCAGGCAACUGGCUCCUCUAUAGCUGACAUGAUCUUUCCUGCUUGAUCUCAGCUUGAUUUGAACUUUGCCACCUGACUUGAACCUUGAAACCUGACUUAGACUCUGACCCUUGAUAUGGACACUGGCCUAGACCAGACUACAAACUUCUCUGCUCCUCCCAGCCUCAGGCCUGACCUCUGAAAGAGGUUGAGUGCAUUUUGGAUGGCUUCAGAGACCUGUUGAGGAGCGCUCCCCCAUAUAAACCAAUCAUCCAGGGAAAAUCAAAGCUAUUAAGCAGGAAGAACUCACAAACUCCACUGGGCAAGCUCAUGGAUCUUCUAAACCCUUAGAAAUUCAGACUGGGGAGAUUAUAGACUCAAUGACCACUGGUGAAAUUUACAGGAAAGUCCUACAGAUUUGCAGCUGCAAGUGACUAAAUGCUUCACUGGAGUAAACAAUCCCUCCUACAGAGUUUAUUUAUAACCUCUGUAAAAACAUAUUGUUUUUCUGACAGGUGCUCCUGGCUGGCAUCAGACAAGUCUUUGGUUCCAACAAUCACAGACCCAGUUACAGUCAAUAGGUGGGUCAAUCAUUCUUUCAGACUCAAUGGAAUAAAUAAUUUAGCCUCUUUAUUUAAUACAAACAGCUAUAAAAAAUGGAGGAUGGCCCAGACUACAUGGCAGGUCAGGGGUUUCCCUGAUUGAAAACACAGGGACGAAGAGAUUGUUUUUUCAGCCUGUGUGUGGUAGAAGCAGAGAGAGCCUUAGAAAGCAUGGUGAAUGUGACCCUAAUAGGAAGCAGAAAAAGACAUUGUCAGGCACAGAGCUCGCUGGAGUGGUACACUUGGGGGCAUCUGAGCUAAGAAAUUGUGUCUGCUAUUUGUUUCUACUAUGUUCAGGGAAACUGGGCUUUGUGUACAUUAUUUGUAAGUAAACAAGAUUACACCAAAAAAUAUACCUGACUCAUAUCAAGUUCUCUUCCUAAAGGGCACAACUCUGCAAGGCCUUGAAUAUUGGCUAACUGCCCAGGCCAAAGGGGCAAUACUAUACAGCUCAAUACAAAGCUGUAAAUCUGUUUCUGCACUGAAAUUUGCCUACAAAGGUAGUUUUUUAUGUUGGCAACUAUAGUACAGUGACAUCUCAACCCAAAAUUAUGCCACAGCUUGAAUGAAUCUCUUACUUCA
This is a long non-coding RNA of Dermochelys coriacea (leatherback sea turtle), 1165 nucleotides long. RefSeq lists it as uncharacterized. The transcript has 3 exons. The record is from RefSeq and is a predicted model, not a curated record. NCBI's taxonomy places the organism in Eukaryota, Metazoa, Chordata, Testudines, Dermochelyidae.